Dalotia coriaria is the source of this 3645-nucleotide long non-coding RNA. RefSeq lists it as uncharacterized. The record is from RefSeq and is a predicted model, not a curated record. The transcript is spliced from 3 exons. Lineage: Eukaryota; Metazoa; Arthropoda; Insecta; Coleoptera; Staphylinidae.
AUUGAGCUGAGAAGCAGAGGUACGGAAUGCGAGAAAAUGGUAAAUAAAAGUUGGUUGUGUGUCAAUGUUCAAAGAAGUGUGCACUUAACAACUUUAUUUGUCUCCACGAUGUACUCGAACUGUCCCCAUGUCCCAAUUUGGUUAGUAAUGAAACUCGACGUCGGAAACCGAAGUCAAUGUGGACAAACGACUGUUAAACUCUUUCAAAUAAAGCCACAAAAAGGAUGGUUUGACGACGCGGUUGAGAAGUCCCUCCGAAGCGUGGUGAAUGUUUUAAUUGGUAAUUGGUAAUCGACAAGGUCCGCACAUAGCAGUGCGACAAAAAAGGGUGGGUUUAUUUUCGCAAAAGUAUGGAAUGUCUCCUUCGACCAGUCUCAGGGAUAACACAUUGUAUAUGACAUGUACAUUUAUGGCACAGCUAGUUAACCAAAUGAUGCAUUGAUUCAGCGCGGCGAGCAAACAACAACAAUCAACAACCAUCCAAAAAAAGACUUCACAAACCAUCAUACGAGUGGAUUUAGUUGAGUUGAGUUGAGCAGAGAGCAAAUGACUUAAGUCAUAUGUGUGAAAAUUAAAUAAGAAAGACAAAUCGAAGAAACAUAUGGAAUGACAAAAAGUAAAUUGUCCCUAAUCAUGAUUAAUUUGAAUCGAGCCGAUUGAAAUUUAUUGUGAACAUAAUUUGAAGGUGUGCGACACGGCGUGAAGGCGAAGUUGAAAUGAUGGGGUAAUUUCAUAAAGUGCUUGCGAGAGCUUAUUGGCCAGAUUGUAUCGCGCGGUAAUUUAGUUCGUUUGCAACCCUUAAAUUCCAAGUGGAAAAAAGUCAACUCAUCGACCAGUUGGCGCGUUUACUUUGCGCCCUUGAUGACGGCCGCGCGGACUUAAUGCACUUUCCGAAGGUGGCAUAACGACAUAACUACUUAACUGAAAGUGGCACCUAGAAAGUGACCGAAGAAAGUAAAACGUAAAAAAGUUUGAUCGGUUACCAGGUGUCAAUGUCGUGACCCAAGCAAUUUCCAACACACGUGAAACAACUCAGUAUUUACUUAUCUGGCGAUAUUUGUUUUAGAUUCUUCAUGAUUUUAAUUUAUUACUGUUUUCGGGCUGAUUUAAUUAUUUGCGGUGGAUGAUUUUGGGCAAUUGAUGUGAAACAAUUCGCGUGUGGUUUGAAAUUUGCCAUGAAAUAUUUGAUCCCGCCGAAUUAAUUACCAACUAAAAUCAUCAAAGCCUCGACCAUCACCGCGGAGAAAAUUGCCGUUUAAUUAUUUGAUGGAAAUUAAUCAGCGUUUUGCGCGACGUGCACGCACGUAAAAUUAAUUGAAACCUAUCGGCGCGCCGCGAGUCGCGGUGGCUUAUUAAUAAAUUCGACGGCAAUUUAUAAGCGCUUCACGGUCAUUUAAAUACAUUUAAAUCGAAUGAUUAGUCGCCGAUAUUAUUAAUUUCAAAUAUUCGGACGUCGGACGCUGCCGCACCGCGCUGCGCAUUAUCGCUCGUAAAUCAUCCUGUAUACACUUUAAAACAACGCGAAUGAUAUACGAGCAUGGUGUGCACACUCGCAAAACAUCGUUUACCAGAAGCAGGGCGACAACGAUCAUGCCAAGAAAGUAAAACAAAAAAAGUAACCGCAUGAGAGAAACAGUACGAAUUCUAAUUAUUAGCCGCAAUCGAUAACCGCAAAGCAAUUAAUUUCACCAAAUCGAAACGACGUCGAAUGGGGAACGCAAUUAAACGUUAAAUAAAUUUAAAUGAAAUCAAAAGAUCAUUUAUAAUUCUACAUUCCGUUCGAUAUCAUGCCGUACACACUGAUACAAGUGCAGAUUUUCGUUCUCGUCGGAUUAUUUCGGAAAGUUUUAUUUGAAGAAAGACGCGAGGUAUGAAAGCGACGUUGCGGCGAAUGUGCGGGAAGGCGGGAGGAAAAAGAUUAAUGUGAUAUUUAAUAAAACGUUAAGACGUUCAGAACGACGGCCGUUUUUUGCAUCGCGCCGAAAAAGUUUUGAUUAAUUUCACCUUUGCGAAUGGACGUGCAGCGCGGAGGGUGAUACUUUUCAACGCGUUGCAGCAUGUGCGCGGCAAACAGAAGCUGAAACAGAAGGAAAUAUGAAAAUGUUAGAAUCAACGUCAAAACAUAACAAAUCUGUUUUAUUAAAAUAAAGUAAACUCACUCGGAUAUUAAAAGAAAUUUUUAUCAAAAAUUGUUGGCAACUUGUAAAAAUUUAAAACACUUAAUUUUUAAAAUUCAAACAUAAAAAUCGAAAAAUUACAGUUUUCUCCUAUCGUGUGUAACAUACUUUACACUUUCAUUAAGUGGGUACACACUAUGUACAUUGUAUAAACUACAUUUAUAACUAAUUGACGUUUAUUUGAGUUUUAUGAUAUUAAACUGUAAAUUUUAUGCACGUUACUAUGAUGUUUUCAGUAAAAACAUUCCUUAAUGGCAAUUAGUUGCGAUUUACAUCCAAGUUUACCUAUGAAAUUCCUCAUUAAUUUCAACUGCCUGCACGAUGCAUCGAGUCAGCUCACUCGGGCGGCCACAAUAUGCAAUUAUGGCUUGUUUGACUAAUUAAUUAAAUCACAAUUUGUAAUUAUUUAUCAUAGUAAGAGUAUUGCUAAUUGAAACCAGCGCCAUGCCGCUCACCUAACAGUAUCAACUAAUUAAAGCAUCACAAAGACAUUUACCUGGUCACUUCUAUUCCAUAUUAAGUUAAUGUAAAUAUUUAAAAAGAAAAUACAGCGAGUUUAAUUACUUCAUGUAAAAUAAAGCUAAAUUUAUCAAAACAUUGUAAAGGAUAUAAACAAUAAACAAUAGAAAUGCAUUCAUAAAGAGACGUAAAUAAAUGUAAUUUUGUAUUUGUAUAAUAAAUAUUAUAUAUUAAUAAUACGAAUUCGUACUAAACGAAGAGGUUUUAUGUAAUUUAAAACCCAGCACAUUAAAACACUGAACAUUAAAAACGAAUAGAAAAUAAAUCUACAAAUGGACUACAGAUAUAAAUUUAACCCAAAGAAAGCGCUUAAAAUGUUAUUUUUCUAAAUGUAUGUAUUGUUUACUGUGAAUAAAAAUAUAAGCCCGAUUUCUGAAGUCAUAACCUAAUUCUACAUACGAAAUAAUUCACAAUAAAUCAUGUGUACAUCUACAUCCUAAUUACGAGCAUAUUAGCUUUAUUCGAUUGUGAUUGAUUUGAGUUAUAUAAUUAGGUAUAACAAUAACUAGCAAAGAGUUCUGAAUUCAAUUGUGAAAUAUGAUGAGAAAAUGACGCACUGGAUAAUAAAUGUUGCGCGAUUAUUGUAAACAUGUAAAUAUAUAGCUAAAUGGUGCUGUGGUGUAUAUUUAAUGAAUAAAUUCCAUUUUCAUUCAAAAUCUCAUUUAAAAUGUACAUAUUACAAGUGAAGUUUAACUUUAUUAUAAUAAUUUGUGCAAAAUCGUAUACGCGCACAAAAUAUUUUAUUCUAAUUUGUUUGACUAAUGUGUCUAUAUUCACGCCAAUUUUUGUUGAUUUCGUGUGUGUUUUUAAUUAAUUAUCAAGUGUAUAUCGUUGCAAGCUUUAUUCAUUGCUUACAUUUUAAUCAUGUUAAUUCUAAUGUUUAUUAAUUAUAUUAAGUGAUUUUAUUAUUGAAUAUUGUAUUUUGUGUAAAUCAAAUGAAUUAAUAAAC